CCUACGGGGGGCUGCAGUGAGGAAUAUUGCACAAUGGGCGAAAGCCUGAUGCAGCGACGCCGCGUGGGUGAAGAAGGUUUUCGGAUCGUAAAACCCUUUUCUGUGUGACGAGAACGGACGGUAGCACAGGAAUAAGUCUCGGCUAACUACGUGCCAGCAGCCGCGGUAAAACGUAGGAGACAAACGUUAUCCGGAGUUACUGGGCGUAAAGGGCGUGUAGGUGGUUUCGUAAGUCUGGCGUGAAAUAUCUCGGCUUAACCGAGGCAGGUCGUCGG
RNAcentral lists this ribosomal RNA (275 nucleotides) under uncultured bacterium. RNAcentral's name for it is "partial 16S ribosomal RNA". It matches the Rfam family "Bacterial small subunit ribosomal RNA", at positions 338 to 629 of the family's 1533-position model. The record is from RNAcentral.